UCCAGCCCUCCCUUGUUCAUUACGUGUAAAAUUGAAUGACGCAUAUUCUCGCUGAGUGUGUGUGUUUCGUGCGCAUGUGCGGUGUAAAGGAACCGCCCCCCUAUUUAAGUCACAGAACGAGUUUUUGGAAUCAUUCAGCUGCUGCAGUUUGAAGAGCGAGGAAGCAAUGAGAGGGAGAGAUUUCUGGCUGUAGCGUUUUGUCCGGGAGAUUUUUUUUUUUUGAAAACGGUGCAAUGUGAUCACUGCAACAGACGGGCACACACUGAAUGCACUCCGUACUCUGCUGAAGAGUUCUCAACAGACGGGCACACACUGAAUGCACUCCGUACUCUGCUGAAGAGUUAUCAACAGAUGGGCACACACUGAAUGCACUCCGUACUCUGCUGAAGAGUUAUCAACAGACGGGCACACACUGAAUGCACUCCGUACUCUGCUGAAGAGUUAUCAACAGACGGGCACACACUGAAUGCACACUGUACUCUGCUGAAGAGUUAUCAACAAACGGGCACACACUGAAUGCACUCCGUACUCUGCUGAAGAGUUAUCAACAGACGGGCACACACUGAAUGCACUCCGUACUCUGCUGAAGAGUUAUCAACAGACGGGCACAUACUGAAUGCACUCCGUACUCUGCUGAAGAGUUAUCAACAGACGGGCACACACUGAAUGCACACUGUACUCUGCUGAAGAGUUAUCAACAGACGGGCACACACUGAAUGCACUCCGUACUCUGCUGAAGAGUUAUCAACAGAUGGGCACACACUGAAUGCACACUGUACUCUGCUGAAGAGUUAUCAACAGACGGGCACACACUGAAUGCACUCCGUACUCUGCUGAAGAGUUAUCAACAGACGGGCACACACUGAAUGCACUCCGUACUCUGCUGAAGAGCUAUCGCAUGAUUUUUCAUUUAUGUGCAAAAAAUGUAAAGUCAAUGGGUAGAAGAAUGUCUUUGCUCUGUUCUUUUUUAGUUGUUUAGUUCGGCUUCCACAGCAUACCUGGAGAAGCCGAUUGUUAUUGCUGGGAUUUCUGUUGUUCUUUUUCUGCCACAAAAACAGUAAUUAGCUAAAUAAAUAAUAACUUCCUCAA
Molecule: long non-coding RNA, 1089 nt
Organism: Acipenser ruthenus (sterlet)
Lineage: Eukaryota; Metazoa; Chordata; Actinopteri; Acipenseriformes; Acipenseridae
Exons: 2
Source: RefSeq, a predicted model, not a curated record